RNAcentral lists this transfer RNA (77 nucleotides) under Euryarchaeota archaeon TMED164. RNAcentral's name for it is "tRNA-Tyr". It matches the Rfam family "tRNA". Rfam says of the family: Transfer RNA (tRNA) molecules are approximately 80 nucleotides in length. Lineage: Archaea; Methanobacteriati; Methanobacteriota. The record is from RNAcentral. RNAcentral also lists the same sequence under 12 other names.
CCGCGCUUAGCUCAGUUGGCUAGAGCACCUGACUGUAGAUCAGGGGGUCCCCGGUUCAAGUCCGGGAGCGCGGACCA